RNAcentral lists this ribosomal RNA (468 nucleotides) under uncultured bacterium. RNAcentral's name for it is "partial 16S ribosomal RNA". It matches the Rfam family "Bacterial small subunit ribosomal RNA", at positions 28 to 507 of the family's 1533-position model. The record is from RNAcentral.
GACGAACGCUGGCGGCGUGCUUAACACAUGCAAGUCGAACGGAAAGGCCCUGCUUUUGUGGGGUGCUCAAGCGGCGAACGGGUGAGUAACACGUGAGUAACCUGCCCUUGACUUUGGGAUAACUUCAGGAAACUGGGGCUAAUACCGGAUAGGAGCUCCUGCUGCAUGGUGGGGGUUGGAAAGUUUCGGCGGUUGGGGAUGGACUCGCGGCUUAUCAGCUUGUUGGUGGGGUAGUGGCUUACCAAGGCUUUGACGGGUAGCCGGCCUGAGAGGGUGACCGGCCACAUUGGGACUGAGAUACGGCCCAGACUCCUACGGGAGGCAGCAGUGGGGAAUAUUGCACAAUGGGCGGAAGCCUGAUGCAGCAACGCCGCGUGCGGGAUGACGGCCUUCGGGUUGUAAACCGCUUUCGCCUGUGACGAAGCGUGAGUGACGGUAAUGGGUAAAGAAGCACCGGCUAACUACGUG